RNAcentral lists this ribosomal RNA (274 nucleotides) under uncultured bacterium. RNAcentral's name for it is "partial 16S ribosomal RNA". It matches the Rfam family "Bacterial small subunit ribosomal RNA", at positions 523 to 796 of the family's 1533-position model. The record is from RNAcentral.
AUACGGAGGGUGCAAGCGUUAUUGGGAAUCACUGGGCGUAAAGGACGCGUAGGCGGGUUGGCAAGUCAGAUGUGAAAUCCUACAGCUUAACUGUAGAACUGCAUUUGAAACUGCUAACCUAGAGUAUGGGAGGGGGAGAUGGAAUUAGUGGUGUAGGGGUAAAAUCCGUAGAUAUCACUAGGAAUACCAAAAGCGAAGGCAAUCUUCUGGAACACUACUGACGCUGAGGCGCGAAGGCGUGGGGAGCAAACAGGAUUAGAAACCCCAGUAGUCC